UUAUUAAAAAAUAUUCAUACUGACGUGCAAAUUGGGAUUAUUCAAUCAUUUCUUUUUUCUGAAACAUAAAAAUUAUUAUUAAUAAUAUAAUAAUAAUCCUCAUGUUCUAGCCAGUUUAUAAUCAUAAUAAUAAUAACAAAAAUGAAUUUCUAAUCCAAAUAUUUAU
Molecule: small nuclear RNA, 166 nt
Filed under: Cryptosporidium parvum
Lineage: Eukaryota; Apicomplexa; Conoidasida; Eucoccidiorida; Cryptosporidiidae
Source: RNAcentral